Molecule: long non-coding RNA, 648 nt
Organism: Haliotis rubra (blacklip abalone)
Lineage: Eukaryota; Metazoa; Mollusca; Gastropoda; Lepetellida; Haliotidae
Exons: 3
Source: RefSeq, a predicted model, not a curated record
UAUACAUGGUGUGUGCAGUGAGUGUAAGGUGUUGUAUAUGUGGUGUGUGCCGUGAGUGCAAGGUGUUGUAUACAUGGUGUGUGCAGUGAGUGUAAGGUGUUGUAUACAUGGUGUGUACAGUGAGUGCAAGGUGUUGUAUACAUGGUGUGUGCAGUGAGUGUAAGGUGUUGUAUACAUGGUGUGUGCAGUGAGUGUAAGGUGGUGUAUGCAGUGAGUGCAAGGUGUUGUAUACAUGAUGUGUGCAGUGAGUGUAAGGUGUUGUAUACGUGGUAUGUGCAGUGAGUGCAAGGUGUUGUAUACAUGGGGUGUGCAGUGAGUGCAAGGUGUUGUAUACAUGGUGUGUAAGGUGUUGUAUACAUGGUGUUUGCAGUGAGUGUAAGGUGUUGUAUACAUGUUGUGUGCAGUGAGUGGUUACACACAACACAGGCAAACUUAAGUACCUUUGACCAUGGCUGACAGCUUUAUACUUGCAGCAGUGAUAAACCAUAGAAACCACAAAAUAACUAAAUAUUGAUCGGCUUGAGCUUGGUUAACUGGCAACUUCAACUUAAGUUGACAUAUUUACAUGAUGUGAUACUCUGUUAGGCAACAGCUGUUAUUAUGCACACCAUUCAAGGUUGAUAAAUUUGAGCAUGUGACGUGAUGUGA